ACCCCGGCGAGGGGAGUGAAAAAGAACCUGAAACCGUGUACGUACAAGCAGUGGGAGCCUCUUAAUGGGGUGACUGCGUACCUUUUGUAUAAUGGGUCAGCGACUUAUAUUCUGUAGCAAGGUUAACCGAAUAGGGGAGCCGAAGGGAAACCGAGUCUUAACUGGGCGUUAAGUUGCAGGGUAUAGACCCGAAACCCGGUGAUCUAGCCAUGGGCAGGUUGAAGGUUGGGUAACACUAACUGGAGGACCGAACCGACUAAUGUUGAAAAAUUAGCGGAUGACUUGUGGCUGGGGGUGAAAGGCCAAUCAAACCGGGAGAUAGCUGGUUCUCCCCGAAAGCUAUUUAGGUAGCGCCUCGUGAAUUCAUCUCCGGGGGUAGAGCACUGUUUCGGCAAGGGGGUCAUCCCGACUUACCAACCCGAUGCAAACUGCGAAUACCGGAGAAUGUUAUCACGGGAGACACACGGCGGGUGCUAACGUCCGUCGUGAAGAGGGAAACAACCCAGACCGCCAGCUAAGGUCCCAAAGUCAUGGUUAAGUGGGAAACGAUGUGGGAAGGCCCAGACAGCCAGGAUGUUGGCUUAGAAGCAGCCAUCAUUUAAAGAAAGCGUAAUAGCUCACUGGUCGAGUCGGCCUGCGCGGAAGAUGUAACGGGGCUAAACCAUGCACCGAAGCUGCGGCAGCGACACUAUGUGUUGUUGGGUAGGGGAGCGUUCUGUAAGCCUGUGAAGGUGUGCUGUGAGGCAUGCUGGAGGUAUCAGAAGUGCGAAUGCUGACAUAAGUAACGAUAAAGCGGGUGAAAAGCCCGCUCGCCGGAAGACCAAGGGUUCCUGUCCAACGUUAAUCGGGGCAGGGUGAGUCGACCCCUAAGGCGAGGCCGAAAGGCGUAGUCGAUGGGAAACAGGUUAAUAUUCCUGUACUUGGUGUUACUGCGAAGGGGGGACGGAGAAGGCUAUGUUGGCCGGGCGACGGUUGUCCCGGUUUAAGCGUGUAGGCUGGUUUUCCAGGCAAAUCCGGAAAACCAAGGCUGAGGCGUGAUGACGAGGCACUACGGUGCUGAAGCGACAAAUGCCCUGCUUCCAGGAAAAGCCUCUAAGCAUCAGGUAACAUCAAAUCGUACCCCAAACCGACACAGGUGGUCAGGUAGAGAAUACCAAGGCGCUUGAGAGAACUCGGGUGAAGGAACUAGGCAAAAUGGUGCCGUAACUUCGGGAGAAGGCACGCUGAUAUGUAGGUGAAGCGACUUGCUCGUGGAGCUGAAAUCAGUCGAAGAUACCAGCUGGCUGCAACUGUUUAUUAAAAACACAGCACUGUGCAAACACGAAAGUGGACGUAUACGGUGUGACGCCUGCCCGGUGCCGGAAGGUUAAUUGAUGGGGUUAGCGGUAACGCGAAGCUCUUGAUCGAAGCCCCGGUAAACGGCGGCCGUAACUAUAACGGUCCUAAGGUAGCGAAAUUCCUUGUCGGGUAAGUUCCGACCUGCACGAAUGGCGUAAUGAUGGCCAGGCUGUCUCCACCCGAGACUCAGUGAAAUUGAACUCGCUGUGAAGAUGCAGUGUACCCGCGGCAAGACGGAAAGACCCCGUGAACCUUUACUAUAGCUUGACACUGAACAUUGAGCCUUGAUGUGUAGGAUAGGUGGGAGGCUUUGAAGUGUGGACGCCAGUCUGCAUGGAGCCGACCUUGAAAUACCACCCUUUAAUGUUUGAUGUUCUAACGUUGGCCCGUAAUCCGGGUUGCGGACAGUGUCUGGUGGGUAGUUUGACUGGGGCGGUCUCCUCCUAAAGAGUAACGGAGGAGCACGAAGGUUGGCUAAUCCUGGUCGGACAUCAGGAGGUUAGUGCAAUGGCAUAAGCCAGCUUGACUGCGAGCGUGACGGCGCGAGCAGGUGCGAAAGCAGGUCAUAGUGAUCCGGUGGUUCUGAAUGGAAGGGCCAUCGCUCAACGGAUAAAAGGUACUCCGGGGAUAACAGGCUGAUACCGCCCAAGAGUUCAUAUCGACGGCGGUGUUUGGCACCUCGAUGUCGGCUCAUCACAUCCUGGGGCUGAAGUAGGUCCCAAGGGUAUGGCUGUUCGCCAUUUAAAGUGGUACGCGAGCUGGGUUUAGAACGUCGUGAGACAGUUCGGUCCCUAUCUGCCGUGGGCGCUGGAGAACUGAGGGGGGCUGCUCCUAGUACGAGAGGACCGGAGUGGACGCAUCACUGGUGUUCGGGUUGUCAUGCCAAUGGCACUGCCCGGUAGCUAAAUGCGGAAGAGAUAAGUGCUGAAAGCAUCUAAGCACGAAACUUGCCCCGAGAUGAGUUCUCCCUGAGACUUAGAGUCUCCUGAAGGAACGUUGAAGACGACGACGUUGAUAGGCCGGGUGUGUAAGCGCAGCGAUGCGUUGAGCUAACCGGUACUAAUGAACCGUGAGGCUUAACCUU
RNAcentral lists this ribosomal RNA (2422 nucleotides) under Escherichia coli. RNAcentral's name for it is "partial 23S ribosomal RNA". It matches the Rfam family "Bacterial large subunit ribosomal RNA", at positions 523 to 2925 of the family's 2925-position model. Lineage: Bacteria; Pseudomonadati; Pseudomonadota; Gammaproteobacteria; Enterobacterales; Enterobacteriaceae. The record is from RNAcentral.